CCUACGGGGGGCUGCAGUCGAGAAUCUUCGGCAAUGGGCGCAAGCCUGACCGAGCGACGCCGCGUGGAGGACGAAGGCCUUCGGGUUGUAAACUCCUGUCGAGGGGGAGAAAGGCUCCGCGAGGGGCUUGAUCGAUCCCUGGAGGAAGCACGGGCUAAGUUCGUGCCAGCAGCCGCGGUAAGACGAACCGUGCGAACGUUAUUCGGAAUCACUGGGCUUAAAGCGCGUGUAGGCGGAUCGGAACGUCGAUGCCUGAAAUCCCCAGGCUCAACCGG
RNAcentral lists this ribosomal RNA (275 nucleotides) under uncultured Singulisphaera sp. RNAcentral's name for it is "partial 16S ribosomal RNA". It matches the Rfam family "Bacterial small subunit ribosomal RNA", at positions 338 to 616 of the family's 1533-position model. Lineage: Bacteria; Pseudomonadati; Planctomycetota; Planctomycetia; Isosphaerales; Isosphaeraceae. The record is from RNAcentral.